GGAAUAUUGCACAAUGGGCGCAAGCCUGAUGCAGCCAUGCCGCGUGUAUGAAGAAGGCCUUCGGGUUGUAAAGUACUUUCAGCGGGGAGGAAGGGAGCGCGGUUAAUAACCGCGUUCAUUGACGUUACCCGCAGAAGAAGCACCGGCUAACUCCGUGCCAGCAGCCGCGGUAAUACGGAGGGUGCAAGCGUUAAUCGGAAUUACUGGGCGUAAAGCGCACGCAGGCGGUCUGUUAAGUCAGAUGUGAAAUCCCCGGGCUUAACCUGGGAACUGCAUUUGAAACUGGCAGGCUUGAGUCUUGUAGAGGGGGGUAGAAUUCCAGGUGUAGCGGUGAAAUGCGUAGAGAUCUGGAGGAAUACCGGUGGCGAAGGCGGCCCCCUGGACAAAGACUGACGCUCAGGUGCGAAAGCGUGGGGAGCAAACAGGAUUAGAUACCCGAG
RNAcentral lists this ribosomal RNA (440 nucleotides) under uncultured Pantoea sp. RNAcentral's name for it is "bacterial SSU rRNA". It matches the Rfam family "Bacterial small subunit ribosomal RNA", at positions 358 to 790 of the family's 1533-position model. Lineage: Bacteria; Pseudomonadati; Pseudomonadota; Gammaproteobacteria; Enterobacterales; Erwiniaceae. The record is from RNAcentral.